This 506-nucleotide ribosomal RNA is filed under the name uncultured bacterium. RNAcentral describes it as "partial 16S ribosomal RNA". It matches the Rfam family "Bacterial small subunit ribosomal RNA", at positions 29 to 523 of the family's 1533-position model. The record is from RNAcentral.
AGUGAACGCUGGCGGUAGGCCUAACACAUGCAAGUCGAACGGCAGCACAGGAGAGCUUGCUCUCUGGGUGGCGAGUGGCGGACGGGUGAGGAAUACAUCGGAAUCUACUUUUUCGUGGGGGAUAACGUAGGGAAACUUACGCUAAUACCGCAUACGACCUACGGGUGAAAGCAGGGGAUCUUCGGACCUUGCGCGAUUGAAUGAGCCGAUGUCGGAUUAGCUAGUUGGCGGGGUAAAGGCCCACCAAGGCGACGAUCCGUAGCUGGUCUGAGAGGAUGAUCAGCCACACUGGAACUGAGACACGGUCCUGACUCCUACGGGAGGCAGCAGUGGGGAAUAUUGGACAAUGGGCGCAAGCCUGAUCCAGCCAUACCGCGUGGGUGAUGAAGGCCUUCGGGUUGUAAAGCCCUUUUGUUGGGAAAGAAAUCCAGCUGGUUAAUACCCGGUUGGGACGACGGUACCCAAAGAAUAAGCACCGGCUAACUUCGUGCCAGCAGCCGCCGUAA